Molecule: long non-coding RNA, 380 nt
Organism: Helianthus annuus (common sunflower)
Lineage: Eukaryota; Viridiplantae; Streptophyta; Magnoliopsida; Asterales; Asteraceae
Exons: 3
Source: RefSeq, a predicted model, not a curated record
AAGGAAACAAAAGGGAAGAACCCUAACUUCAUGAAAUUCUCAAAAUCAAAAGGGAAUUAAGAGCCUAAAUGGAUGCAUGAACUCGAAAAUCGAAUAAUCUAAGCUUGCUCAUCGACUGGUAUAAAGGAAGAAAGUUCAAGUCAAGCAAAGCAACAAGGGAAUCAAGAUCGAGGUAAAUCUCAAGUUUAGCUUUCAAGCUUCGCCCGGUUCGAACACACUUCAAGACCCGUCCUAUGUUCCGCUACUUUUGUAAAGAAGACAACGCUUAAUAUUUUGGUCACAUGUCUAAGUCUAGUAGUUAAAACUUAGUACUUGUUAUGUAUUUUGAACUUAUCGAAUUUCGUAUGCGUGUCAAGAUGUUUGAUGGUACAUAAUAUGUC